Molecule: ribosomal RNA, 400 nt
Filed under: uncultured bacterium
Lineage: Bacteria
Description: bacterial SSU rRNA
Rfam family: Bacterial small subunit ribosomal RNA
Source: RNAcentral
GGGGAAUAUUGGACAAUGGGCGAAAGCCUGAUCCAGCAAUGCCGCGUGAGUGAUGAAGGCCUUAGGGUUGUAAAGCUCUUUUACCCGGGAAGAUAAUGACUGUACCGGGAGAAUAAGCCCCGGCUAACUCCGUGCCAGCAGCCGCGGUAAUACGGAGGGGGCUAGCGUUGUUCGGAAUUACUGGGCGUAAAGCGCACGUAGGCGGCUUUGUAAGUUAGAGGUGAAAGCCUGGAGCUCAACUCCAGAACUGCCUUUAAGACUGCAUCGCUUGAACGUCGGAGAGGUGAGUGGAAUUCCGAGUGUAGAGGUGAAAUUCGUAGAUAUUCGGAAGAACACCAGUGGCGAAGGCGGCUCACUGGACGACUGUUGACGCUGAGGUGCGAAAGCGUGGGGAGCAAAC